Molecule: transfer RNA, 72 nt
Organism: Sphingomonas sp.
Lineage: Bacteria; Pseudomonadati; Pseudomonadota; Alphaproteobacteria; Sphingomonadales; Sphingomonadaceae
Rfam family: tRNA
About the family: Transfer RNA (tRNA) molecules are approximately 80 nucleotides in length. Their secondary structure includes four short double-helical elements and three loops (D, anti-codon, and T loops). Further hydrogen bonds mediate the characteristic L-shaped molecular structure. tRNAs have two regions of fundamental functional importance: the anti-codon, which is responsible for specific mRNA codon recognition, and the 3' end, to which the tRNAs corresponding amino acid is attached (by aminoacyl-tRNA synthetases). tRNAs cope with the degeneracy of the genetic code in two manners: having more than one tRNA (with a specific anti-codon) for a particular amino acid; and 'wobble' base-pairing, i.e. permitting non-standard base-pairing at the 3rd anti-codon position.
Source: Rfam
UCCCUGAUAGCUCAGCGGUAGAGCAUCCGACUGUUAAUCGGACGGUCGUAGGUUCGAAUCCUACUCAGGGAG